Molecule: ribosomal RNA, 390 nt
Filed under: uncultured bacterium
Lineage: Bacteria
Description: bacterial SSU rRNA
Rfam family: Bacterial small subunit ribosomal RNA
Source: RNAcentral
AUUGAACGCUGGCGGCAGGCCUAACACAUGCAAGUCGAACGGUAACAGGAAGAAGCUUGCUUCUUUGCUGACGAGUGGCGGACGGGUGAGUAAUGUCUGGGAAACUGCCUGAUGGAGGGGGAUAACUACUGGAAACGGUAGCUAAUACCGCAUAACGUCGCAAGACCAAAGAGGGGGACCUUCGGGCCUCUUGCCAUCGGAUGUGCCCAGAUGGGAUUAGCUAGUAGGUGGGGUAACGGCUCACCUAGGCGACGAUCCCUAGCUGGUCUGAGAGGAUGACCAGCCACACUGGAACUGAGGACACGGUCCAGACUCCUACGGGAGGCAGCAGUGGGGAAUAUUGCACAAUGGGCGCAAGCCUGAUGCAGCCAUGCCGCGUGUAUGAAGAAG